UGAGAUCUUGAUUCAAUAAGCACUUCUACUAUGGAUUUUGGAAAACAAAGCUCCAAAAAAGGAAAAUAGGGACUCUACACUGUAUCCUCCUAAAGCAAGGAACAAUGGCAUAAACCAUAAGAAGAAGAAGAAGAAGAGAAUGGGAGGAAAAAAAAAAGUGACCAACAGACCUCAAACCGGCAACUUAGAGACAUCUCCCUGAUACCUUACUGCCGCUGAACACUCCUGAAGGUGCUAUCAUCAUUGUCAGGUUCUCCAAGUUCCCUCAUAUCUUUCAUCCAUGUUAUAGUUUCCACUACUUCAUCCUAGUCCAAACAAAUCCUCAACUGCCAUAAUCCAGCUUGCUUUACAAGACUUAUACAAUCCAUCCUCUUGUUUAUGCCACAUUACCUAAUUAUUUUUCAUGUUUAUAAUGCUCAUCUUUUGUGCUUGAACCCUCUUUCUAGCUCCAACGGUUUGGAUCCUAGUAGUGCCAUAAGUCUAAAAGUCAUGGAACAAUAACAGAGAACCCAUAAGCACCUCUCACUCCAUCCACAAGCCACUUA
Molecule: long non-coding RNA, 545 nt
Filed under: Elaeis guineensis (African oil palm)
Lineage: Eukaryota; Viridiplantae; Streptophyta; Magnoliopsida; Arecales; Arecaceae
Description: long non-coding RNA (EGUI_LNC081597)
Source: RNAcentral